Grammomys surdaster is the source of this 102-nucleotide small nuclear RNA. The record is from RefSeq and is a predicted model, not a curated record. Lineage: Eukaryota; Metazoa; Chordata; Mammalia; Rodentia; Muridae.
UCACUUCCAGAGUGCAGAUACUAAACUGGAAUGAUACAGAGAAGGUCAUCAUGGCCCCUGUGCAAGGAUGAUAUGGGACUUCACGCAGCAUGCUGUGCCUUU